RNAcentral lists this transfer RNA (68 nucleotides) under Marmota monax (woodchuck). RNAcentral's name for it is "tRNA.Ala". The record is from RNAcentral. Lineage: Eukaryota; Metazoa; Chordata; Mammalia; Rodentia; Sciuridae.
GGAUUGUGGCUCAGUGGUACAGCGCUUGCCUAGCUCGUGCGAGGUGCUGGGUUCAAUCCUCAGCACCA